UGAGUUCGCGGGAGAGUAGGUUAUUGCCAGGGUUUUUAUUUUAUACUUUAAACAUUGAUUUUAUUUUUUAUGUUUUUAGAUGUUUAUGUUUUUGAAUGUUUUAUUCAAAUAAUAUAAAAAAUAAAAUAUAUAUUGACAUGGAUUAAACAAAGAUAUAUAUUAUUCUAUGUUGUAUAAACAAAUUGGCAAAAUAGAGAUGGAAGAUAAAAAUAUGGUCAAAGUAAUAAGAGUCUAUGGUGAAUGCCUAGGAGCUUUAAGGCGAAGAAGGUCGUGGUAAGUGAGUUCGCGGGAGAGUAGGUUAUUACCGAUCACUUUCCCAAGAAUCGCCAAUCGAAAAAC
RNAcentral lists this unclassified non-coding RNA (339 nucleotides) under Borreliella garinii. Its description in RNAcentral is "partial contains 5S-23S ribosomal RNA intergenic spacer and 23S ribosomal RNA". Lineage: Bacteria; Pseudomonadati; Spirochaetota; Spirochaetia; Spirochaetales; Borreliaceae. The record is from RNAcentral.